This 482-nucleotide ribosomal RNA is filed under the name uncultured bacterium. Its description in RNAcentral is "partial 16S ribosomal RNA". It matches the Rfam family "Bacterial small subunit ribosomal RNA", at positions 30 to 507 of the family's 1533-position model. The record is from RNAcentral.
AUUGAACGCUGGCGGCAUGCUUUACACAUGCAAGUCGAACGGCAGCGCGGGGCAACCUGGCGGCGAGUGGCGCACGGGUGCGUAAUAUAUCGGAACGUACCCAGAAGUGGGGGAUAACGUAGCGAAAGUUACGCUAAUACCGCAUACGAUCUACGGAUGAAAGGAGGGGACCGCCAGGCCUUCUGCUUUUGGAGCGGCCGAUAUCUGAUUAGCUAGUUGGUGAGGUAAAGGCUCACCAAGGCGACGAUCAGUAGCUGGUCUGAGAGGACGACCAGCCACACUGGAACUGAGACACGGUCCAGACUCCUACGGGAGGCAGCAGUGGGGAAUUUUGGACAAUGGGCGCAAGCCUGAUCCAGCAAUGCCGCGUGAGUGAAGAAGGCCUUCGGGUUGUAAAGCUCUUUUGUCAGGGAAGAAACGGUAGAGGCUAAUAUCCUUUGCUAAUGACGGUACCUGAAGAAUAAGCACCGGCUAACUACGUG